CUACAGGCUUAACACAUGCAAGUCGAGGGGCAGCAUGGUCUUAGCUUGCUAAGGCCGAUGGCGACCGGCGCACUGGUGAGUAACGCGUAUCCAACCUGCCUUACACUCUUGGACAGCCUUCUGAAAGGGAGAUUAAUACAAGAUGUUAUCAUGAGUAAGCAUUUUCGCAUGAUUAAAGGUUUACCGGUGUAAGAUGGGGAUGCGUUCCAUUAGAUAGUAGGCGGGGUAACGGCCCACCUAGUCUUCGAUGGAUAGGGGUUCUGAGAGGAAGGUCCCCCACAUUGGAACUGAGACACGGUCCAAACUCCUACGGGAGGCAACAGUGAGGAAUAUUGGUCAAUGGACGAGAGUCUGAACCAGCCAAGUAGCGUGAAGGAUGAAGGUUCUAUGGAUUGUAAACUUCUUUUAUACGGGAAUAAACGAAUCCACGCGUGGAUUUUUGCAUGUACCGUAUGAAUAAGGAUCGGCUAACUCCGUGCCAGCAGCCGCGGUAAUACGGAGGAUCCGAGCGUUAUCCGGAUUUAUUGGGUUUAAAGGGAGCGUAGAUGGGUUGUUAAGUCAGUUGUGAAAGUUUGCGGCUCAACCGUAAAAUUGCAAUUGAUACUGGCAGUCUUGAGUACAGUUGAGGUAGGCGGAAUUCGUGGUGUAGCGGUGAAAUGCUUAGAUAUCACGAAGAACUCCGAUUGCGAAGGCAGCUUACUAACCUGUAACUGACAUUGAUGCUCGAAAGUGUGGGUAUCAAACAGGAUUAGAUACCCUGGUAGUCCACACGGUAAACGAUGAAUACUCGCUGUAGGCGAUAUACAGUCUGCGGCCAAGCGAAAGCAUUAAGUAUUCCACCUGGGGAGUACGCCGGCAACGGUGAAACUCAAAGGAAUUGACGGGGGCCCGCACAAGCGGAGGAACAUGUGGUUUAAUUCGAUGAUACGCGAGGAACCUUACCCGGGCUUAAAUUGCAACCGAAUAUGGCGGAAACGCUAUAGCUAGCAAUAGCGGUUGUGAAGGUGCUGCAUGGUUGUCGUCAGUUCGUGCCGUGAGGUGUCGGCUUAAGCGCCAUAACGAGCGCAACCCUUGCCGAUAGUUACUAACAGGUCAUGCUGAGGACUCUGUCGGGACUGCCAUCGUAAGAUGUGAGGAAGGUGGGGAUGACGUCAAAUCAGCACGGCCCUUACGUCCGGGGCUACACACGUGUUACAAUGGGGGGUACAGAGGGCUGCUACCACGCAAGUGGAUGCCAAUCCCAAAAACCUCUCUCAGUUCGGAUUGAAGUCUGCAACCCGACUUCAUGAAGCUGGAUUCGCUAGUAAUCGCGCAUCAGCCACGGCGCGGUGAAUACGUUCCCGGGCCUUGUACACACCGCCCGUCAAGCCAUGGGAGCCGGGGGUACCUGAAGUGCGUAACCGCAAGGAGCGCCCUAGGGUAAAACUGGUGACUGGGGCU
This 1440-nucleotide ribosomal RNA is filed under the name uncultured organism. RNAcentral describes it as "SSU rRNA". It matches the Rfam family "Bacterial small subunit ribosomal RNA". The record is from RNAcentral.